Molecule: long non-coding RNA, 556 nt
Organism: Bubalus bubalis (water buffalo)
Lineage: Eukaryota; Metazoa; Chordata; Mammalia; Artiodactyla; Bovidae
Exons: 3
Source: RefSeq, a predicted model, not a curated record
CAUGACUGAGAGACUGAGCAUAAUGUAUUAAGCAUAUGCUUUCACUUAUGGCAUUUAACUUUUAUAACUAUCUAAUAAAAUAAGAAUUAUUGUCCUUAUUUUACGUAGAAGGGAAGCUGGAGUUAAGGACCAUCGCCUGCUCAAGUCAGUUGGAGAAGCUAGGAUUUCAACCUAGGUCCCUUGGACUGCAAAUUCCUGAUUUUCUCUGCUGGACUUCCCUGGUGGUCUGUGGCUAAGACUCUGAGCUCCCAGUGUGGGACCCUGCAUUCCAUCCCUGGUACGAUGUCAACCAUUCUUAUUGAUGCUGCCCUGUUUAUAAUGUUAGUUUUUCUAAAGCUGCUUCUAAGAUUUCCCCCCAUUUUGUUCAUUGAAAGCCUUGCAACUAUGGGUUUACAGUUUUUACCAAAUAUUGAAAAUUUUCAGGUAUUAUUGCCUCAAAUAUUUUUCUUCAUUUCCUUUCUUUUCUGAGACUCCAAUUUCAUGGCUGUUACACUGUUGAUGUUUUCCCUCAGGUCACUGAGGAUUUAAUCAUUUUUUUAACCUUAAAUAAAAAUGC